Molecule: unclassified non-coding RNA, 3755 nt
Filed under: Leishmania donovani
Lineage: Eukaryota; Euglenozoa; Kinetoplastea; Trypanosomatida; Trypanosomatidae
Description: gene:LdHU3.36.8300(CDS-product:l6202.3-like_prote in)
Source: RNAcentral
GAGCGCGCGGCGUGAUGCACUGCGAACCUGCUCUCGGUCGGUCGGGAUCGAAACGUAUCACAGCGUGGGCCAGCUUCGCUAGAGGAAGGGGGGAGCUUGCCAUCUGUACACGCACUCAUACACACACCAUCAAAGACACCUCAUUCGUGUUUUGCGAGGUCCAGGUGGAUGUCAAAGACCACCAUCACCUAUGUCAAUAGCUGGAACAACAACGCGGAAUAGAGCGCUCCGCAAAACCACCGUUGCCUGGAACCGCUACUGUCCUGCUUUAUUUUGUUUCUUCUUCAUUCGCGUGCCUGUGCGUGCGGGCGCUCGCUCUUGACCCGCCAGCGUGCAUUGCUCGUCAUCUCUUUUUUGUUUUUGCUGUUGCUGUUUGCUCGCUCUAUUAGGUUUCUCUUCUGCUUCCUUCCUUCCUCUCCCCCCGACUGGCGCCACGACUGCGCUGCCAGCGGGUGUGCCGUGCUCUGUGUUCACCCUCACAAGCCCGUCCACCUUACUCUCUGUCAUAUUGCCGUGGCCGCCGCCGCUUCGAGGCCCGCUAUCUCGGCUUCGCCCUUGCAGGUGUGCACAUCACGGUCUUCGAGCCUGUGAGGCUACUAACGUUGCCACACAUACGGGUUACUGGAGCGGCUUCUGUGUCGUCUCGUUCUCCACAUCGCUGCAUUUUUCGAUUCAUGUCAGUGCCGGUCGCGGGGAGACGCAAGGGGCUAAGUUCCGCCUCAUCCCCAUCAUCCGUCGCGCCACUCCCCCCGACUCAGGAAGCAGAUGGCCCGUCCUGGUUAAACGACCUGAACGGCAGCACAAUGCCGCCUGCCGCACCUUUGGUCGUCCAAGUGUCGCCCAGCCACCGACAGUCGUAUUCUACAAGCGUAACCCCACGGUGUCCCGUGGCCGCUGCGACUCCGGCCGCACACGAAGCUCCGGCGAGCGAGGGCAACCCACUUGCCUUCCUGAACGAAGUCGAGGCACCACCUUCAGCAACUGCCGAUGAGGGCUGGCACAGUAAGGUGACCGCCUCUGGUGGGCCGAUCGCUUCGUCGCUGUUGCCCUCCUCACCGGCAGUGCCCGUCUUUCUGCAGGAAGAUGGCGAUGACGCACCCGCAGUCGAUGCAACGAUUUCGAUGGCAGGCGCUCUCCCGUCUGUCGACCGCACUACCGCUACCACCGUUGGUGUUUCUGCCUCACACCGCGCGGAGGAGGAGAGGCAGCAGGCAGCGAAAAUGGCUCUCAGUCAACAGCUCUCUGAAAUAGAGCGUCAAUUGAGCGAGGCGUCGCAGAGCGUAGUCGCCCUUCAGAAAGGCGAGCAUCCGCUUGCGGUCGAAGUGUCCGAAGCCGAGCGUGUGGUGGCUUCCCUCAGGACCAAAGAGGCUGCGGCUCGUCAGCAAAAAGCGGAAGAAGAUGCUCACAUCCGGCAAGUGGCUUGCGCAAAUGCAGUCGCGACUGUGCAUGCGAGGGACGUGGAGGAGGAGAUGCGCGAAUAUCGCGGCCAAUGCGUCCAGCGCCUCCAGCAGCAUGUAGAGGAUCUCAUGCAGACCGUGCAGGAGCAGCAGAUGCGCACCGCCACCCUUCGAGCAGAGUGGGAGGCCGCCGUCACACGUGAGGCACAGGAUGGCAGUGAGGCCUCCAUGUUUGAAGCCCUACUGCUUCGCGUGCAGGACGGUGCGCGUCAUUUGAAGCGACGACUGUCGUUACAAUGCAGCCGCGCCGUGGCGGAGAGUUCCCGGGUGUACUUGGCGGCAGCGCGGCAGCAGCGAGUCGAGAUCUUUGCCAAUGACACGGCAACCCGUGCGCGAACGCUGGCGGAGCACCGAUCUCGGCGCGAGGAGGAGGCGGCCGCGUUCCACGACAUGUGUCGCCGCACCUUUCAGGAGCGCGCAGACUCCGCCUUUGGUGCCGCCAAGGUAGCCUUCGAAGCGGCACAUCGGUACCAUGACAACGAGCGUCGUCAGCGUGUAGCCGCCUUCCAGUGCCAGCUCGCUUCCAUGACAGAGCGAAGCCGCGAGAUGCUGGAGCAGCAGGUACGCCGCCUACUCGAGCAGGAGUGUGCGAUCACCAUCACGCAACAGGACGCGGCCGCCAAGGAGUGGACGGCGCGUCAAAAGGAGCUGACGGCGCAGCUCCACGCAUUUCGCUCGCGUGCGGAGGUGGAAGUCUGCCUGAUGCGCGAAGGCGGCGGGGUGCAUCGUGCCUCCGUCGGGUCGCCGUCUCAGACGCCGGCGCCGCCCGUACCGGCGCAGGAGGCGCUGCGCAGCGAGGUGGACCGUGCGCGUGCGCGAAUGGGGCAACUCGCGCUCUCGUUGCGCAUCAAACACGAGCAGCAGUCGUGCCCCUCAUAUGCACGGGGGGCUACCCGCGCCGUCGACUACCAGGGCAGUGGUGGCGCGUGCCGUUCGGGGAACUCGCCCGCAACUUCGUCUUUUUCAGUGGCGCAAAUCAGCGCGGAAUGGCAGCGGUCCCUCGUCUCCCUGCAGCACAGUCGUGAGACACUUCGGAGCAGCAUAUCUGAUGUCAAGGUGGCGAGCCGUGGCUAUGCCGCGCAGCUGCAGCAACGCCGCACGCAGCUCAUUCAGCAGCGGGAGGAUAUCAAGGCCGUUUGCGCCGAAUGGGAGCAGGCGGUUCGUGGGCAGCUGUCGAGGUGCCUGACAGCAGCGAGCUCACAAGUGCCUGCCCACGUUGGCCUCACGACCGGCGCUCUCGACAACUUGAGCCGACGUGUUGGUGUCAUCCUGCGGGCCCAUCAAUCGCUGCGCACGGCUCGGACCACUUUCACAGCGAAUCUCGGCACGUGGUCAAAGUCCCUUUCUGACUACCGCCUCGACACGGAACGCCUUCUUGCGGACGUUUUUCAGCAGCUAGACCUCCUUCGCGAACGAAGUGUUCAGAUGGAGGUGGACCAGUCGACGCUGCAGUGCUUGCAGGCGCAGGUCAACGUGCUCGAGCAGCACGUUACCGAGGGGGCAAGGCGGCUGGCCAUCCGCAAGCGGUGUGUCGACGCUUUCGUGAAGGACCUUCGUGCAGGUUUGGGUCAGUCGCACACGCUCCCAAGCUCGGUUGAUCCUCGACUGCUGCCAGCGAGGCACAGGGAACAAUCUACGCACGUGACGCAGAACUUCAAGGACGCCAACAGCACUUCAGCGAUUUGCGGUGUAGCGAGUCCUGCCGCCGCGGCGGCGGUGGUGUCCAAUGCGGACCGUCGGGAGAAGCGUGUAAAGAAGAUGGCGCCUCCGCACAAAAGGACAAUGAAGAAAACGCCAUCUUUAGCGCACAUAAAUGCGCCCCCUGCGACUUCCUGCUCCCUUGUAACGCGAACAAACCGUGUAACAAGUCGCCGCAGCCGCAACCACUCGCAGGAAGAUCGGCGCGCCGCUACCGCUGGCAUAACGCGAAGGACGGGGCUGACCACGCCGGACGUCGACGUGCUUGGCAGCUGCUCCCUGUACCCUAUUCUUCCAACGCUCGAAGGGAACCGCCCGUAUGCCGCAGCCGUGAAAUCGGCCUCUUCGUUUUCCUCCGCGUCCGCCUAUGGCUCUUCCGCUGUGCACGACUCCUCCGCCGCAGUCGAUGCGGAGGCCGACGAGGAGGAGGGAAGGGGGGAGAGCGAUUUCUCCACCGACCUUGUGCCCUUCGGGGAUGUCCGUGGCAGCCUCCUCGAUGCGCCAGCCACCUGCACUCGGUGAUUCUCUGAUGUGCUUUAGUUACCUGUUUUUUUUUCUUCGUCCCCCGCUGUUUCCCGCAUGUUGCGAGGCAACGCCAGC